Molecule: ribosomal RNA, 253 nt
Filed under: uncultured bacterium
Lineage: Bacteria
Description: partial 16S ribosomal RNA
Rfam family: Bacterial small subunit ribosomal RNA
Source: RNAcentral
UACAGAGGCCACGAGCGUUAGGCGGAAUCACUGGGCUUAAAGCGUGUGUAGGUGGAUGACUAAGUACCUUGUGAAAUCCCACGGCUCACCCGUGGAACUGCUGGGCAUACUGGCGAUCUUGGGCCAACUAGGGGCAACUGGAACAAGCGGUGGAGCGGUGAAAUGCGUAGAUAUCGCUUGGAACGCCAAAGGUGAAAACAGGUUGCUGGGGUUGUGCCGACGCUGAGACACGAAAGCCAGGGGAGCAAACGGG